Molecule: ribosomal RNA, 828 nt
Filed under: uncultured marine bacterium
Lineage: Bacteria
Description: bacterial SSU rRNA
Rfam family: Bacterial small subunit ribosomal RNA
Source: RNAcentral
AGUCGAGCGAGAUCAACUUGCUUCAAUCCUUCGGGAGAGAAGCUUGUUGUGAGAGCGGCGAACGGGUGAGUAAUAUAUGGGUAAUUUACCUCUUUGUUCGGGAUAGCCAUCGGAAACGAUGAUUAAUACCGAAUGUGUUCAGGAACUGCAUAGUUCCCUAUACAAAGGCGGGGAUCUUCGGACCUGUCGCAAAGAGAUAAGCCCAUAUCCUAUCAGCUUGUUGGUGAGGUAAUGGCUCACCAAGGCUUACGGGUAGCUGGUCUGAGAGGAUGAUCAGCCACACUGGAACUGAGAUACGGUCCAGACUCCUACGGGAGGCUGCAGUCGAGAAUCAUUGUCAAUGCACGAAAGUGUGAACAUGCGACGCCGCGUGGAGGAAGACGGCCUUCGGGUUGUAAACUCCUGUCAGCAGGAAGGAAUAAUCAGACAAUUAAUACUUGUUUGAUUUGACAGUACCUGCAGAGGAAGUCACGGCUAACUCUGUGCCAGCAGCCGCGGUAAUACAGAGGUGGCGAACGUUGUUCGGAUUUACUGGGCGUAAAGGGUCCGCAGGCGGUCUUGUGUGUCGGAUGUGAAAGCUCACGGCUCAACCGUGGAAUUGCAUUCGAAACUGCAAGACUAGAGUACUGGAGGGGAGAAGGGAACACUUGGUGUAGCGGUGAAAUGCGUAGAUAUCAAGUGGAACACCGGAGGCGAAGGCGCUUCUCUGGACAGAUACUGACGCUCAUGGACGAAAGUUAGGGUAGCGAAAGGGAUUAGAUACCCCUGUAGUCCUAACCGUAAACGGUGUGCGCUAGGCGUGGGUGGCUUUACCCCCAUCCGUGCCUG